Molecule: ribosomal RNA, 884 nt
Filed under: Photorhabdus luminescens
Lineage: Bacteria; Pseudomonadati; Pseudomonadota; Gammaproteobacteria; Enterobacterales; Morganellaceae
Description: bacterial SSU rRNA
Rfam family: Bacterial small subunit ribosomal RNA
Source: RNAcentral
AAUUGAAGAGUUUGAUCAUGGCUCAGAUUGAACGCUGGCGGCAGGCCUAACACAUGCAAGUCGGGCGGUAACAGGAAAGCGCUUGCGCUUUUGCUGACGAGCGGCGGACGGGUGAGUAAUGUCUGGGGAUCUGCCCGAGGGCGGGGGAUAACCACUGGAAACGGUGGCUAAUACCGCAUAAUGUCGCAAGACCAAAGUGGGGGACCUGAAAGGGCCUCACGCCGUCGGAUGAACCCAGAUGGGAUUAGCUGGUAGGUAGGGUAAUGGCCUACCUAGGCGACGAUCCCUAGCUGGUCUGAGAGGAUGACCAGCCACACUGGGACUGAGACACGGCCCAGACUCCUACGGGAGGCAGCAGUGGGGAAUAUUGCACAAUGGGCGCAAGCCUGAUGCAGCCAUGCCGCGUGUAUGAAGAAGGCCUUCGGGUUGUAAAGUACUUUCAGCGGGGAGGAAGGAUUUAGCUUGAACAGAGUUGGAUUUUGACGUUACCCGCAGAAGAAGCACCGGCUAACUCCGUGCCAGCAGCCGCGGUAAUACGGAGGGUGCGAGCGUUAAUCGGAAUGACUGGGCGUAAAGCGCACGCAGGCGGUCAAUUAAGUUAGAUGUGAAAUCCCCGGGCUCAACCUGGGAAUGGCAUCUAAGACUGGUUGACUGGAGUCUCGUAGAGGGGGGUAGAAUUCCAUGUGUAGCGGUGAAAUGCGUAGAGAUGUGGAGGAAUACCGGUGGCGAAGGCGGCCCCCUGGACGAAGACUGACGCUCAGGUGCGAAAGCGUGGGGAGCAAACAGGAUUAGAUACCCUGGUAGUCCACGCUGUAAACGAUGUCGAUUUGGAGGUUGCGGCCUUGAGCUGUGGCUUCCGAAGCUAACGCGUUAAAUCGACCGCC